ACUGGUGAAGAUGGAAUAAUGCAAAGUUGCCACUGGAAAAAAAAGAAAGCUACUUUAAGAGGGAUUCUCUGAACAGAGAGAUAAAUUCUGUCUCACCCAGACUCUGCUGAAGGAAAAUGGAGCAAGGACUUGAAAUAAAAAAUAAAAGUCAGACCACAAUGUAUACUUAAAAAUCUACUGUUUGUGUUGCCAGUAUCAACAGCCUAGAUCCUGGAGUUGUUUCAAAUUAUUCAGAAAAGCAAUUAUCUUUGGAACCUGGCUGACAUUAGACCACCUGAUUACAUUAAUUUCAUAAAAUUCAGGGAAUUUACAUAGUUGGAAAGUUGCACAUUGAACUCAAUAUUGUGUAAUCUUGAAAUGUUAACUUUUGCAAGCCAUGUAGUCACUCUGUAUGGAAGAGUAGGUGAUAUUUCUGCUCCAGUAACCUUCUCAAGACUCAGCAAAUAGACUCGGCAGGGGUUAACCUGCAGGAUGUCCAUAACUGAGCAGAAUUUCUCCUCAUCUGUAGUGAUAAAAAAAUCAGCAGAAUUUUCUUCUUUUCAUAUGUAAGAGAGAGUGUGAAGUCUUCAAAAAAUGCAUAAGGACAGAAAGCUGAAAUGCAAUAGACUUUGUCAUAAUUUGUCCUCCUGUGCUGGAUGAAUAUAGUGCUGAGUGACUGGCUGAUAUUUUAAGAUCCAAUUCUUCCCUUUUUUAUUAGAAGACAUUGUAAAUGGUCUUCCUUGGUAUACAGCCCUUCAUUUCUAUCUGCUUAGGAACUCUGGAUUAGAGAAAAAUUUCCUUUUAUUUAAGACUUGAAGGAUACCUCACUUGUAAGAGGCCUAACACUA
Molecule: long non-coding RNA, 827 nt
Organism: Pseudopodoces humilis (Tibetan ground-tit)
Lineage: Eukaryota; Metazoa; Chordata; Aves; Passeriformes; Paridae
Source: RefSeq, a predicted model, not a curated record